AUUGAACGCUGGCGGCAGGCCUAACACAUGCAAGUCGAGCGGAUGAAGGGAGCUUGCUCCUGGAUUCAGCGGCGGACGGGUGAGUAAUGCCUAGGAAUCUGCCUGGUAGUGGGGGAUAACGUCCGGAAACGGGCGCUAAUACCGCAUACGUCCUGAGGGAGAAAGUGGGGGAUCUUCGGACCUCACGCUAUCAGAUGAGCCUAGGUCGGAUUAGCUAGUUGGUGGGGUAAAGGCCUACCAAGGCGACGAUCCGUAACUGGUCUGAGAGGAUGAUCAGUCAGACUGGGACGGAGGCACGGUCCAGGCUCCUACGGGAGGCAGCAGUGGGGAAUAUUGGACAAUGGGCGAAAGCGUGAUCCAGCAAUGCCGCGUGUGUGAAGAAGGUCUUCGGAUGGUAAAGCACUUUGAGUUGGGAGGAAGGGCAGUAAGUUAAAACCUUGCUGUGUUGACGUUACCAACAGAAUAAGCACCGGCUAACUUCGUG
RNAcentral lists this ribosomal RNA (484 nucleotides) under uncultured bacterium. RNAcentral's name for it is "partial 16S ribosomal RNA". It matches the Rfam family "Bacterial small subunit ribosomal RNA", at positions 30 to 507 of the family's 1533-position model. The record is from RNAcentral.